Molecule: long non-coding RNA, 385 nt
Organism: Chionomys nivalis (European snow vole)
Lineage: Eukaryota; Metazoa; Chordata; Mammalia; Rodentia; Cricetidae
Exons: 3
Source: RefSeq, a predicted model, not a curated record
CGGCCGGGGCACAGCUCAGCCGGGAAGGGGUCCUGUCCCGAGCUGCUCUCCCGGGGUCCGCCUCGCGCGUGCGCGGACUCAGAUCGAGGCCGGGAUGCAGAGUCAGGCGCAUCGCCAAACCGGCCGUCUCCCCAUCGCGACGCACACCUUUGCGACGGGUCUGCGUGGCCGGUGUUUGUCUGGAAUGGGACUCUCAGGCCGCUUGUCAGGUCUAGAUGGAAAGGCACUGGGACCAAGGCCUGAUGUGUAUUCAGCCAACUGAGCUACAUUCCCGGCACAAAUCCAGAUGUGGAACUCUCAGCUGUUUUUUCACCAAGAUGUCUGCUUGCAUGCCUCCAUGCUCCCUGCCAUGAGGAUAAUGACUAAGCCUCUGAACUGCAAGCAA